ACCACAUCUGAAUCAUUGAGUGCAAACUGGUGAGAGCGAACUGGUCUGUUCGGCAGAAAAGACAAAUUUUUUGUGGCUGCCAGUUACAGGUUUUAUAUACUCUUAUAGUCUUCGAUGUUGUUUUCAGCUCAUGUACACAUCUAUUGCAUGUCCAUUUCCUGUUGUUUUUGUGCAGUCUAUAUUUGAGAGGUUUGACCGUGACCGAAGUGGUAAAAUUGAUGCGUCACAGCUGCACAAUGCUCUUCUUAUUCAGUUUCUCCAACUGCACUAGACUUGCUCGUGUCUAAAUUCGACAAGACUGGGGCAUUAGCAAAGCAGUCCAAUAUGGAAACUUUAUAGAGAAAGUUGACUCCUUCAAUUUAAUUUGGCUAAUUGUUCCAAAUCAACAGUACAAGCUUUUAUAAUAUCCAAUCUGUUAAAACUUAGUUAACUUUAAGUUUCUAUGUUUAAAAUAUAUAUUGAUUCUCAGUUUUUUCUUCUUAUUUCAGAUUAAAAUUGGUGAAGCAUUCAUGUUCAAAGCUUAGCUUAGUCAGAUUUUAUUCAGGAACUUUAUUUUAUUUGUUAAUGUCAUGGUGUUCAUGUUCUAGGCUUAGCUCAACCAGAUAACAUGUAGGGAGUUCAAUUUUAUUUGUUAAUAUAAUGAUGGAAU
This 649-nucleotide long non-coding RNA is filed under the name Triticum aestivum (bread wheat). Its description in RNAcentral is "long non-coding RNA (TAES_LNC021894)". The record is from RNAcentral. Lineage: Eukaryota; Viridiplantae; Streptophyta; Magnoliopsida; Poales; Poaceae.